UGCAAGUCGAACGAAGUAGCAAUACUUAGUGGCAGACGGGUGAGUAACAUGUAGGAAUCUACCCUUUGGCCUGGAAUAACACGAGGAAACUUGUGCUAAUACCAGAUAAGUCUUUACGGAGAAAGCUUUAUGCACCAUUGGAUGAGCCUGCACUUGAUUAGUUUGUUGGUGGGGUAAUGGCCUACCAAGACUGUGAUCAAUAGCUGAUUUGAGAGGAUGAUCAGCCACAUUGGGACUGAGACACGGCCCAAACUCCUACGGGAGGCAGCAGUGGGGAAUCUUGCACAAUGGAGGAAACUCUGAUGCAGCGAUGCCGCGUGAGUGAAGAAGGCCCUUGGGUUGUAAAGCUCUUUCGUCGGGGAAGAAAAUGACUGUACCCGAAUAAGAAGGUCCGGCUAACUUCGUGCCAGCAGCCGCGGUAAUACGAAGGGACCUAGCGUAGUUCGGAAUUACUGGGCUUAAAGAGUUCGUAGGUGGUUGAAAAAGUUGGUGGUGAAAUCCCAGAGCUUAACUCUGGAACUGCCAUCAAAACUUUUCAGCUAGAGUAUGAUAGAGGAAAGCAGAAUUUCUAGUGUAGAGGUGAAAUUCGUAGAUAUUAGAAAGAAUACCAAUUGCGAAGGCAGCUUUCUGGAUCAUUACUGACACUGAGGAACGAAAGCAUGGGUAGCGAAGAGGAUUAGAUACCCUCGUAGUCCAUGCCGUAAACGAUGUGUGUUAGACGUUGGAAAUUUAUUUUCAGUGUCGCAGCGAAAGCGAUAAACACACCGCCUGGGGAGUACGACCGCAAGGUUAAAACUCAAAUGAAUUGACGGGGACCCGCGCAAGUAGUGGAGCAUGUGGUUUAAUUCGAAGAUACGCGCAGAACCUUACCAACACUUGACAUGUUCGUCGCGACUUUAAGAGAUUAAAGUUUUCGGUUCGGCCGGACGAAACACAGG
Molecule: ribosomal RNA, 938 nt
Filed under: uncultured bacterium
Lineage: Bacteria
Description: bacterial SSU rRNA
Rfam family: Bacterial small subunit ribosomal RNA
Source: RNAcentral